UGAACAAGCACUGUAGAUUCCAAAUAUAGACGUUGAAGCAAAAAAUCAAAACAGUCAUAACGUAAUUUGCACAGAACAGGUUUGAACAAGAAUUCACUUGAAAUCAAGGUUUCGAUUUGAGCGACUGUUGUGUUGUUAUAUUGUUUUCGAGUUAUCAACAGACGUAUUUUUCUAGAUAUUUAAUUGCUUUAUUGUAGAAUAAAACGCCAGAAAACCGUGCAAGAUAAACCGCAUAGAUGUAUAAAUGUAUUCUUUUGAAAAAAAGUUACCAAUAAGUCUAUAACCAUUUUCUACUGGACGUUGACUCGACUGACUCACUUUAUUUGCUUAUAUUGUUCCGUUUAGGCUGACCUGCAGAAAUUAUUUCCGAGAUGUCUUUUACGAGACCCACAGAUACCCCAAAAGACUCUUACUUGCCUGACAAUUUCAUUCCGAGUGCCAGUUGUAUCCAAUACAACCUGAGCUGUCAAAGGAAGGGUUGCCAAGGAAUCACAGAGGAGGAUCUGCAGCCUAAUCAAGAAAAGUUUGUAAAAUUAGUGUAUCAAAUGAGCGAGCAAUUGAAAAUGUUUGAAGAUUGCAUCAAAAAGAUAAAGAUUGACCACGAUAUACAGGAAACUUUCAAAAACUUGAAUAAAGUUUGGCGAGAAAUUUUGGAAAUUUUGGAACCCAAAACGCGAAAAUUUGGAGAGCAACUGCGCGCUGGAAGAAUAACUGCAGACGAAAUUUACGAAUACCUCACGACUUUUAACUAUGAACCCAGUGCCGUUGAUCUGAGAAACGAUAUAUCGGACACAAGAGGAUUUGUUCGUAUCAAAUCCAAAAAUUCCACUCCAGUGAUGAAUACUGCCGAUAAAGAGUCGCUUGCGAAAACAUGGGAACUAGCUAUACGAUUCAAAGUCAAGUUAAUUUAUCUUGACCAAA
This is a long non-coding RNA of Symsagittifera roscoffensis, 921 nucleotides long. RefSeq lists it as uncharacterized. The transcript is spliced from 3 exons. NCBI's taxonomy places the organism in Eukaryota, Metazoa, Xenacoelomorpha, Acoela, Convolutidae. The record is from RefSeq and is a predicted model, not a curated record.